RNAcentral lists this non-coding RNA (481 nucleotides) under Trichobilharzia regenti. Its description in RNAcentral is "Eukaryotic large subunit ribosomal RNA". It matches the Rfam family "Eukaryotic large subunit ribosomal RNA", at positions 969 to 1381 of the family's 3401-position model. Lineage: Eukaryota; Metazoa; Platyhelminthes; Trematoda; Strigeidida; Schistosomatidae. The record is from Rfam by way of RNAcentral.
UAUUUCAACAUAUCACUUGCACACAUACUACGAAAGUAAAAAAACACAUCAACAACUAGCAGUAGUAUGAUUAAUUAUUGUACUUGUUGAUGUGUAUAUGUUUGUAGGUGUGUGUGUGUGUGUGUGUGUGUGAAAGUAGGGCAGUAGAUAAACGGCAAAACCAGCUAGGUGGCCAUUGUAUGUCAGCUAGAGCACGUGAGUCACCUUGAUGAGUGCCAAGUAGGCCACUUUUGGUAAGCGGAAAUGACAUUGUGGGAUGAACCAAACGUGCGCUUAAGGCGCCUAAUGCAACGCUCAUGAGAUAUCACAAAAGGUGCUGGUUGGUUCAUAUAGCAGGACAGUGGCCAUGAAAUUCGGAAACCGGUAAGGAGUGUGUAACAACUCACUUAUCUGCUGAAUCAACCAGCCCUGGAAAUCGAUAGCGCUCGAGCGUUCCACCUAUACCGUACCGUUGCUGCAGGCUGGCCGUAAGCAGAAUGAG